This 433-nucleotide ribosomal RNA is filed under the name uncultured bacterium. RNAcentral's name for it is "partial 16S ribosomal RNA". It matches the Rfam family "Bacterial small subunit ribosomal RNA", at positions 29 to 507 of the family's 1533-position model. The record is from RNAcentral.
AACGAACGCUGGCGGCAUGCCUAACACAUGCAAGUCGAACGAGACCUUCGGGUCUAGUGGCGCACGGGUGCGUACCGCGGGGGAACCUGCCCUUAGGUUCGGAAUCACUCCCCGAAAGGGGUGCUAAUACCGGAUAAUGUCUUCGGACCAAAGAUUUAUCGCCUUUGGAUGGGCCCGCGUUGGAUUAGCUAGUUGGUAGGGUAAAAGCCUACCAAGGCGACGAUCCAUAGCUGGUCUGAGAGGAGGAUCAGCCACACUGGGACUGAGACACGGCCCAGACUCCUACGGGAGGCAGCAGUGGGGAAUAUUGGACAAUGGGCGAAAGCCUGAUCCAGCAAUGCCGCGUGAGUGAUGAAGGCCUUAGGGUUGUAAAUCUCUUUUACCCGGGAUGAUAAUGACAGUACCGGGAGAAUAAGCACCGGCUAACUCCGUG